UUGGUACUCCCUCCGUUCCAUAUUACUUGUCGCUGAUUUAAUACAAAGUUGUACUAUAUUACUUGUCGCUGAUUUAGUACAACUUUGUAUUAAAUCAGCGACAAGUAAUAUGAAACGGAGGGAGUAGAUG
Molecule: non-coding RNA, 130 nt
Organism: Triticum aestivum (bread wheat)
Lineage: Eukaryota; Viridiplantae; Streptophyta; Magnoliopsida; Poales; Poaceae
Source: Rfam